CCUACGGGCGGCUGCAGUGGGGAAUAUUGGACAAUGGGCGAAAGCCUGAUCCAGCCAUGCCGCGUGUGUGAAGAAGGCCUUCGGGUUGUAAAGCACUUUCAGUGGGGAAGAAAGCCUUGGGGCUAAUACCCUCGAGGAAGGACAUCACCCACAGAAGAAGCACCGGCUAACUCCGUGCCAGCAGCCGCGGUAAUAUGGAGGGUGCGAGCGUUAAUCGGAAUUACUGGGCGUAAAGCGCGCGUAGGCGGUCUGAUAAGCCGGUUGUGAAAGCCCCGGGCUCAACCUGGGAACGGCAUCCGGAACUGUCAGGCUAGAGUGCAGGAGAGGAAGGUAGAAUUCCCGGUGUAGCGGUGAAAUGCGUAGAGAUCGGGAGGAAUACCAGUGGCGAAGGCGGCCUUCUGGACUGACACUGACGCUGAGGUGCGAAAGCGUGGGUAGCAAACAGGAUUAGAUACCCUGGUAGUC
RNAcentral lists this ribosomal RNA (465 nucleotides) under Vreelandella stevensii. RNAcentral describes it as "partial 16S ribosomal RNA". It matches the Rfam family "Bacterial small subunit ribosomal RNA", at positions 338 to 795 of the family's 1533-position model. The record is from RNAcentral. Lineage: Bacteria; Pseudomonadati; Pseudomonadota; Gammaproteobacteria; Oceanospirillales; Halomonadaceae.